GCCCGAAUGGCGAAAUUGGUAGACGCGUCAGAUUUAAGCUCUGAUGGUCCGAAAGGGCCGUGUGGGUUCGAGUCCCACUUCGGGUA
Molecule: transfer RNA, 86 nt
Filed under: Caudoviricetes sp.
Lineage: Duplodnaviria; Heunggongvirae; Uroviricota; Caudoviricetes
Description: tRNA-Leu
Rfam family: tRNA
About the family: Transfer RNA (tRNA) molecules are approximately 80 nucleotides in length. Their secondary structure includes four short double-helical elements and three loops (D, anti-codon, and T loops). Further hydrogen bonds mediate the characteristic L-shaped molecular structure. tRNAs have two regions of fundamental functional importance: the anti-codon, which is responsible for specific mRNA codon recognition, and the 3' end, to which the tRNAs corresponding amino acid is attached (by aminoacyl-tRNA synthetases). tRNAs cope with the degeneracy of the genetic code in two manners: having more than one tRNA (with a specific anti-codon) for a particular amino acid; and 'wobble' base-pairing, i.e. permitting non-standard base-pairing at the 3rd anti-codon position.
Source: RNAcentral